CCCAGACUCCUACGGGAGGCAGCAGUGGGGAAUAUUGCACAAUGGGGGAAACCUGAUGCAGCGACGCCGCGUGGAGGAAGAAGGUCUUCGGAUUGUAAACUCCUGUUGUUGAGGAAGAUAAUGACGGUACUCAACAAGGAAGUGACGGCUAACUACGUGCCAGCAGCCGCGGUAAAACGUAGGUCACAAGCGUUGUCCGGAAUUACUGGGUGUAAAGGGAGCGCAGGCGGGAAGACAAGUUGGAAGUGAAAUCCAUGGGCUCAACCCAUGAACUGCUUUCAAAACUGUUUUUCUUGAGUAGUGCAGAGGUAGGCGGAAUUCCCGGUGUAGCGGUGGAAUGCGUAGAUAUCGGGAGGAACACCAGUGGCGAAGGCGGCCUACUGGGCACCAACUGACGCUGAGGCUCGAAAGUGUGGGUAGCAAACAGGAUUAGAUACCCUGGUAGUCCACACUGUAAACGAUGAUUACUAGGUGUUGGAGGAUUGACCCCUUCAGUGCCGCAGUUAACACAAUAAGUAAUCCACCUGGGGAGUACGACCGCAAGGUUGAAACUCAAAGGAAUUGACGGGGGCCCGCACAAGCAGUGGAGUAUGUGGUUUAAUUCGACGCAACGCGAAGAACCUUACCAAGUCUUGACAUCCUGCGACGNNNNUNGAAANAUNNNUUUCCUUCGGGACGCAGAGACAGGUGGUGCAUGGUUGUCGUCAGCUCGUGUCGUGAGAUGUUGGGUUAAGUCCCGCAACGAGCGCAACCCUUAUGGUCAGUUACUACGCAAGAGGACUCUGGCCAGACUGCCGUUGACAAAACGGAGGAAGGUGGGGAUGACGUCAAAUCAUCAUGCCCUUUAUGACUUGGGCUACACACGUACUACAAUGGCGUUAAACAAAGAGAAGCAAGACCGCGAGGUGGAGCAAAACUCAGAAACAACGUCCCAGUUCGGACUGCAGGCUGCAACUCGCCUGCACGAAGUCGGAAUUGCUAGUAAUCGCAGAUCAG
This 996-nucleotide ribosomal RNA is filed under the name Faecalibacterium prausnitzii. Its description in RNAcentral is "bacterial SSU rRNA". It matches the Rfam family "Bacterial small subunit ribosomal RNA", at positions 330 to 1352 of the family's 1533-position model. Lineage: Bacteria; Bacillati; Bacillota; Clostridia; Eubacteriales; Oscillospiraceae. The record is from RNAcentral.